This 253-nucleotide ribosomal RNA is filed under the name uncultured prokaryote. RNAcentral describes it as "partial 16S ribosomal RNA". It matches the Rfam family "Bacterial small subunit ribosomal RNA", at positions 524 to 776 of the family's 1533-position model. The record is from RNAcentral.
UACGUAGGGACCAAGCGUUGUUCGGAUUUACUGGGCGUAAAGGGCGCGUAGGCGGCUUGACAAGUCACUUGUGAAAUCUCCGGGCUUAACUCGGAACUGCCAAGUGAAACUGUCAUGCUAGAGUGCAGAAGGGGCAACUGGAAUUCUCGGUGUAGCGGUGAAAUGCGUAGAUAUCGAGAGGAACACCUGCGGCGAAGGCGGGUUGCUGGGCUGACACUGACGCUGAAGCGCGAAAGCUAGGGGAGCGAACGGG